This 484-nucleotide ribosomal RNA is filed under the name uncultured bacterium. Its description in RNAcentral is "partial 16S ribosomal RNA". It matches the Rfam family "Bacterial small subunit ribosomal RNA", at positions 28 to 523 of the family's 1533-position model. The record is from RNAcentral.
GACGAACGCUGGCGGCGUGCUUAACACAUGCAAGUCGAACGAUGAACCCGGAGCUUGCUCCGGUGGAUUAGUGGCGAACGGGUGAGUAACACGUGAGUAACCUGCCCUUGACUUUGGGAUAACUGCGGGAAACUGUAGCUAAUACCGGAUACGACCCUAGGCGGCAUCGCCAGGGGGUGGGAAGAAUUUCGGUCAAGGAUGGACUCGCGGCCUAUAAGCUAGUUGGUGAGGUAACGGCUCACCAAGGCGACGACGGGUAGCCGGCCUGAGAGGGUGACCGGCCACACUGGGACUGAGACACGGCCCAGACUCCUACGGGAGGCAGCAGUGGGGAAUAUUGCACAAUGGGCGCAAGCCUGAUGCAGCAACGCCGCGUGAGGGAUGACGGCCUUCGGGUUGUAAACCUCUUUUAGUAGGGAAGAAGCGAAAGUGACGGUACCUGCAGAAAAAGCACCGGCUAACUACGUGCCAGCCGCCGCAGUAA